Molecule: ribosomal RNA, 544 nt
Filed under: uncultured bacterium
Lineage: Bacteria
Description: bacterial SSU rRNA
Rfam family: Bacterial small subunit ribosomal RNA
Source: RNAcentral
AAUAGAUACCCUGGUAGUCCACGCCGUAAACGAUGGGCGCUAGGUGUGGGAGGUGUCGACUCCUUCCGUGCCGCAGCUAACGCAUUAAGCGCCCCGCCUGGGGAGUACGGCCGCAAGGCUAAAACUCAAAGGAAUUGACGGGGGGCCCGCACAAGCAGCGGAGCACGUGGUUUAAUUGGAUGCAACGCCAAGAACCUUACCAAGGCAUGACAUGUUCGGGAAAGCCGGAGAAAUUCGGCCCUCCUUCGGGACCCGAUCACAGGUGGUGCAUGGCUGUCGUCAGCUCGCGUCGUGAGAUAUUGGGUUAAGUCCCGCAACGAGCGCAACCCCUGUCCCAUGUUGCCAGCGAGUAAAGUCGGGGACUCAUGGGAGACUGCCGGUGACAAAUCGGAGGAAGGUGGGGAUGAUGUCAAGUCAUCAUGCCCCUUAAGUCUUGGGCUACACACGUGCUACAUUGGCCGGUACAAAGGGCUGCAAUACCGCGAGGUUGAGCGAAUCCCAAAAAGCCGGUCCCGGUUCGGAUUGGAGGCUGCAACUCGCCUCC